This 667-nucleotide long non-coding RNA is filed under the name Nicotiana tabacum (common tobacco). Its description in RNAcentral is "long non-coding RNA (NTAB_LNC017619)". The record is from RNAcentral. Lineage: Eukaryota; Viridiplantae; Streptophyta; Magnoliopsida; Solanales; Solanaceae.
CCACUACCACCCCCUUAAUUACAAUGACAAGGCUGGGAUUUAGCCAGAAAUAAGGCGGAUAGAGGAUAAGAUUCGUUGGCUCGACUGCUAUAUAGUCAGUCGUAAUUAUAUUUUUUUAAAUUUAAUUUCUUAAAUUUAUGCAAUUUAGAGAAGUUCUAUUUCCUUGUGGAUGUGAUUGUACUUUUUCGAUGUGUAUUGGUUAUUUCAACUUGACUUGCUUUUUGGAUUUUUUGUUGCCCUCAUUGCUUCAGUGUUUGAGCGACUCUAAUUUUUAUCUCCAUACAAUUUCUUGAGGCUCUUUAUCCUGUAAAUUAAGGCAUUUCAUGUUUUAAUUUCUGGGCAUAUAGCAAAGUUCUCUAAUUGAAAUUUGCAAGAACUUGCAUUGUUAACUGAUCUUGGCACCACUAGCUCUAAAAAGGGGUGAAUUUUUGCUUAUGUUGUAGGUGUCUGUGAGGAGAAGCCAGAAGCUAUCUGACAAGAUACAGAAACUAGUUUCUCCUUUAUGGCAAGGUAAUCAAUUACUAGAAGCUGCAAAUUAAUAAUCAUUGUGUUUACUAAUUAGCUUCACACUUUAUAUUUAAGUAUGUACUAGUUAAUAUCUAAAGAAGGUUUGACUCAAGUGCAGAUGGGCACACCAUUAGUACUGCAUAAAGCUGCAAUAUCUGGC